UAGGGAAUCUUCCGCAAUGGACGCAAGUCUGACGGAGCAACGCCGCGUGAGUGAAGAAGGAUUUCGGUUCGUAAAACUCUGUUGUUAGAGAAGAACAGCGCAUAGAGUAACUGUUAUGCGUGUGACGGUAUCUAACCAGAAAGCAACGGCUAACUACGAGCCAGCAGCCGCGGUAAUACGUAGGUGGCAAGCGUUGUCCGGAUUUAUUGGGCGUAAAGCGAGCGCAGGCGGUCAAUUAAGUCUGAUGUGAAAGCCCCCGGCUCAACCGGGGAGGGUCAUUGGAAACUGGUUGACUUGAGUGCAGAAGAGGAGAGUGGAAUUCCAGGUGGAGCGGUGAAAGACGUAGAUUUAAGGAGGAACACCAGUGGCGAAGGCGACUCUCUGGUCUGUAACUGACGCUGAGGUUCGAAAGCGUGGGUAGCAAACAGG
RNAcentral lists this ribosomal RNA (429 nucleotides) under Bacteroidota bacterium. Its description in RNAcentral is "Bacteroidetes bacterium partial 16S ribosomal RNA". It matches the Rfam family "Bacterial small subunit ribosomal RNA", at positions 355 to 776 of the family's 1533-position model. Lineage: Bacteria; Pseudomonadati; Bacteroidota. The record is from RNAcentral.